Molecule: ribosomal RNA, 250 nt
Filed under: uncultured bacterium
Lineage: Bacteria
Description: partial 16S ribosomal RNA
Rfam family: Bacterial small subunit ribosomal RNA
Source: RNAcentral
UACGUAGGGGGCAAGCGUUAUCCGGAAUCACUGGGCGUAAAGGGUGCGUAGGCGGUCGAUCAAGUCAGGAGUGAAAGGCAAUGGCUCAACCAUUGUAAGCUCUUGAAACUGAUUGACUUGAGUGCAGGAGAGGUAAGUGGAAUUCCUAGUGUAGCGGUGAAAUGCGUAGAUAUUAGGAGGAACACCAGUGGCGAAGGCGACUUACUGGACUGUAACUGACGCUGAGGCACGAAAGCGUGGGGAGCGAACA